UACAGAGGGUGCAAGCGUUAAUCGGAAUUACUGGGCGUAAAGCGUGCGUAGGCGGCCAACUAAGUCAGACGUGAAAUCCCUCGGCUUAACCGGGGAACUGCGUCUGAUACUGGAUGGCUUGAAUCCGGGAGAGGGAUGCGGAAUUCCAGGUGUAGCGGUGAAAUGCGUAGAUAUCUGGAGGAACACCGGUGGCGAAGGCGGCAUCCUGGACCGGCAUUGACGCUGAGGAGCGAAAGCCAGGGGAGCAAACGGG
RNAcentral lists this ribosomal RNA (253 nucleotides) under uncultured bacterium. Its description in RNAcentral is "partial 16S ribosomal RNA". It matches the Rfam family "Bacterial small subunit ribosomal RNA", at positions 524 to 776 of the family's 1533-position model. The record is from RNAcentral.